This is a long non-coding RNA of Thunnus maccoyii (southern bluefin tuna), 1926 nucleotides long. RefSeq lists it as uncharacterized. Lineage: Eukaryota; Metazoa; Chordata; Actinopteri; Scombriformes; Scombridae. The transcript is spliced from 3 exons. The record is from RefSeq and is a predicted model, not a curated record.
AGAUUUGCCUGCAGGUGAAGGAACAACAACCUGCUGCUACUCUACAACCUGCAGACACCAUCAGCUGGAACAGAUCCUGAAUGAUUCUGGAGCGAAGAGCAACCAACCAACUCUGAUCAGACCUUAAAACCUGCUGUUAACCCACUGCUGAUCACUGGCCUCCGUCCAUCUACAUGCGGCUGAUAAUGGAAGUGAACUGGGAGGUCUGGUUCAGGUUAGUUCUGCUGUUUUCAGUUUAGGUUUUAAUCUGUGACCACGAGACAAACAACAACCUGCUGGAUCCAAUAUUUAUUUAUAUCAAUCUAUCAAAAACUAAUUAUGAUGCAAAUGAUUAUUGUGUCUUUUUUCUGUUAAUACACUAACGCUACUUAAAUCACAGAGCCAGAAAUAUUGAUUUGCAUCUUCACUAAUCGUCCUGAUUGAUGUUUGAAUCCUGCAUCUUCUCAGGAGAAUAUUGACUGUAAAUACAAAUAUAGAUUAAAUCAUUAAUAGGUAUUUGUAAACCCUGAGUACUGUCUGCAGGUUAAGAAGGGAGGGCAGCAGCCUGAGAGGCGAAACCCGGGGCAAAGAAAGGCUGCAGACCAACGGCUGCUGUUCGUGAGGCUUCAUCACUGCGAGCGUCUGGAUUCUCACAGAGACGAUAAACUGAAACCGUCUUCACACUUCAGUCUGUGUGUUGAAGAUUUAUUGAUGAAAUGACACAAGGACAAACUUUAAAAACCUGCUGCUGUAAUACUGUCACUGAGGUCAAAGGUCACCACAUGUGAAAACAACAGGUAUGUUACAUAUCAACAUGUCAAUCAACACGUUUCCUGUUCCUGUCGUCACUUAUUGUUCCAUUAGUGUCGAUGUGUUUGCAGUCGUACGUUAAGACUCAUUUUCACUUUUUACUCAUUUUCACUUAGAAAUCCAGGAUUUGUUUGUUUGUUUGUUUGUUUAUAAUCCAACUUCUCCUGGAUUUCAGUUUCUUAAAUAAAUACCAAUAAUAAAUUUACAGGUUUUAUUGUGUCAGAAUAAAAACUGAAGAUAACGAGCCGUCGUAGCUUCGCUGCUUUUUAUUGUCCUGACGUUUCACACAAGACGUCACUGAGUUCAUAACGGUAACUCCAGGACUUUCCAGGUCAUUACAGGACUUUCAAGGUCUGUCUUAGAAGUCCAUCUUUACCUGAAAUUCUUCUGUCCUCCCACUGAAAAGCAACAGACGCAGAUAUGAAAACUCCUGCUGUUGGUACCUGGAAUCUCUCUCCAAAGUUCAAAAUAUUCCAGGACAUUCCAGGACUGUUUCAGUCUUUGUCGGGACAGAAGCUGAGUGAGUUUUAAAAAGCAGCUCAGAGAGAAAUGAGGCUGAAAAUGAAUUUGUAAAACAUGAAAAAACAGAAAAUGUGAGAGGAGAAUCUGCUGGUUAAUAAAAGUCGCUGUGAGCCGCACAGAGCAGAAAACCUACUGAACCAAACAGUAAAAACAAACAAACAAACAAACAAACAAACAAACAAACACAGACUGCUGCUCCAAUAAAACCUGAUUGUCUCUAAAAGAACAUUUAAGACGUCGCAUCACUCCGUCCGAGAGAGAGAGAGAGAGCUUCCUGAGUGUCGGGCAGGUUUCACUGCGGCCUUCUUUUGAGUUUUGUGUCUCUGUGUUUUUUUCACCCAGCGUUUUGGCUGCAGGCGUCUGUGUGUUUUUACUUUUUGUCACUUUGUGCUCAGAGUCCUGCUGCCGUGUACAUACGAGGUUUUAUCAGGACUCUGCUGAUGUGUACAGUCAGUCGACAUGAAGCCUUUUUUUUGUUUUUUAUUAUUGGACGUAAACAGUGUGAUGAUGAUGAUGAAGAUGUUUGGUUUUUGUUUUGUUUUUUGGGGGGAAAAUGUUGAAUCUGAUUUAGAAUCAUUUACAGAAAAUAAAAUAUUUUACAUCUUGAAGAAGCGA